This 382-nucleotide ribosomal RNA is filed under the name uncultured eukaryote. RNAcentral describes it as "partial 18S ribosomal RNA". It matches the Rfam family "Eukaryotic small subunit ribosomal RNA", at positions 592 to 976 of the family's 1831-position model. The record is from RNAcentral.
UGUAAGCGUAUACCAAAGUUGUUGCAGUUAAAACGCUCGUAGUCGGAAUUUGGCAGUUCCGGAUGUGUGCACGUCGUGUGCGCACUUCGCGGGGAUUGCUUUUGUGGUCUUGCGUAGGAUGAGGCACUUUUAUUAGUGAACGUCCUCACGCAACCACUUUUUACUGUGAGAAAAUCAGAGUGCUCAAAGCAGGCAUUUGCCGUGAAUGUAUUAGCAUGGAAUAAUAGAAUAGGACUUGGUUCUAUUUUGUUGGUUUGUUGGGACUGAGUAAUGAGUAAGAGGGACAGUUGGGGGCAUUUGUAUUUCGGUGCUAGAGGUGAAAUUCUUAGAUUACCGAAAGACAAACUGCUGCGAAAGCGUCUGCCAAGGAUGUUUUCAUUGA